GAUCCUGAGUACGGCGGAACACGUGAAAUUCCGUCGGAAUCCGGGAGGACCAUCUCCCAAGGCUAAAUACUCCCUAGUGACCGAUAGUGAACCAGUACCGUGAGGGAAAGGUGAAAAGCACCCCGGAAGGGGAGUGAAACAGUUCCUGAAACCGUGUGCCUACAAGUAGUUAGAGCCCGUUAAUGGGUGAUAGCGUGCCUUUUGUAGAAUGAACCGGCGAGUUACGAUUUGUUGCAAGGUUAAGCGGAAAAAGCGGAGCCGUAGCGAAAGCGAGUCUGAAUAGGGCGCAUAAGUAACAGGUCGUAGACCCGAAACCAGGUGAUCUACCCAUGUCCAGGAUGAAGGUAAGGUAAUACUUACUGGAGGUCCGAACCCACGCACGUUGAAAAGUGCGGGGAUGAGGUGUGGGUAGCGGAGAAAUUCCAAUCGAACUUGGAGAUAGCUGGUUCUCUCCGAAAUAGCUUUAGGGCUAGCCUCGAGGUAAAGAGUCAUGGAGGUAGAGCACUGUUUGGACUAGGGGCCCUUCUCGGGUUACCGAAUUCAGAUAAACUCCGAAUGCCAUGUACUUAUACUCGGGAGUCAGACUGCGAGUGAUAAGAUCCGUAGUCGAAAGGGAAACAGCCCAGACCACCAGUUAAGGUCCCCAAAUAUAUGUUAAGUGGAAAAGGAUGUGGGGUUGCUUAGACAACCAGGAUGUUGGCUUAGAAGCAGCCACCAUUGAAAGAGUGCGUAAUAGCUCACUGGUCGAGUGACCCCGCGCCGAAAAUGUACCGGGGCUAAACAUAUUACCGAAACUGUGGAUGAACCUCUUUAGAGGUUCGUGGUAGGAGAGCGUUCUAAGGGCGGUGAAGUCAGACCGGAAGGACUGGUGGAGCGCUUAGAAGUGAGAAUGCCGGUAUGAGUAGCGAAAGAAGGGUGAGAAUCCCUUCCACCGAAUAUCUAAGGUUUCCUGAGGAAGGCUCGUCCGCUCAGGGUUAGUCGGGACCUAAGCCGAGGCCGAUAGGCGUAGGCGAUGGACAACAGGUAGAGAUUCCUGUACCAGUGCUAAUUGUUUAACCGAUGGGGUGACACAGAAGGAUAGGGAAUCGCACGAAUGGAAAUGUGCGUCCAAGCAGUGAGUGUGAG
RNAcentral lists this ribosomal RNA (1125 nucleotides) under Listeria monocytogenes. Its description in RNAcentral is "partial 23S ribosomal RNA". It matches the Rfam family "Bacterial large subunit ribosomal RNA", at positions 404 to 1529 of the family's 2925-position model. Lineage: Bacteria; Bacillati; Bacillota; Bacilli; Caryophanales; Listeriaceae. The record is from RNAcentral.